CCUACGGGCGGCAGCAGUGGGGAAUAUUGCACAAUGGGCGCAAGCCUGAUGCAGCCAUGCCGCGUGUGUGAAGAAGGCCUUCGGGUUGUAAAGCACUUUCAGCGGGGAGGAAGGCGUUAAGGUUAAUAACCUUGGCGAUUGACGUUACCCGCAGAAGAAGCACCGGCUAAUUCCGUGCCAGCAGCCGCGGUAAUACGGAGGGUGCAAGCGUUAAUCGGAAUUACUGGGCGUAAAGCGCACGCAGGCGGUCUGUCAAGUCGGAUGUGAAAUCCCCGGGCUCAACCUGGGAACUGCAUUCGAAACUGGCAGGCUAGAGUCUUGUAGAGGGGGGUAGAAUUCCAGGUGUAGCGGUGAAAUGCGUAGAGAUCUGGAGGAAUACCGGUGGCGAAGGCGGCCCCCUGGACAAAGACUGACGCUCAGGUGCGAAAGCGUGGGGAGCAAACAGGAUUAGAUACCCGAGUAGUC
Molecule: ribosomal RNA, 465 nt
Filed under: uncultured Klebsiella sp.
Lineage: Bacteria; Pseudomonadati; Pseudomonadota; Gammaproteobacteria; Enterobacterales; Enterobacteriaceae
Description: bacterial SSU rRNA
Rfam family: Bacterial small subunit ribosomal RNA
Source: RNAcentral